UCGGGAAUAUUGGGCAAUGGAGGAAACUCUGACCCAGCAACGCCGCGUGAAGGAUGAAGGCCUUCGGGUCGUAAACUUCUGUCGAGAGGGAAGAAACGCGUACGGUCAAUAUCCGUGCGCCUGACGGUACCUCCAAAGGAAGCACCGGCUAACUCCGUGCCAGCAGCCGCGGUAAUACGGAGGGUGCAAGCGUUGUUCGGAUUUAUUGGGCGUAAAGCGAGUGUAGGCGGUUUGACAAGUCGGGUGUGAAAUCCCAGGGCCCAACCCUGGAACUGCACCCGAUACUGUCAGGCUAGAGUCCCGGAGAGGGUGGCGGAAUUCCCGGUGUAGGGGUGAAAUCCGUAGAUAUCGGGAGGAACACCAGUGGCGAAGGCGGCCACCUGGACGGUGACUGACGCUGAGACUCGAAAGCGUGGGUAGCAAACAGGAUUAGAUACCCCCGUAGUCC
RNAcentral lists this ribosomal RNA (448 nucleotides) under uncultured prokaryote. RNAcentral describes it as "bacterial SSU rRNA". It matches the Rfam family "Bacterial small subunit ribosomal RNA", at positions 355 to 796 of the family's 1533-position model. The record is from RNAcentral.